UACGUAGGGGGCUAGCGUUGUCCGGAAUCAUUGGGCGUAAAGAGCGUGUAGGCGGUUCGGUAAGUCCGCUGUGAAAGUCCAGGGCUCAACCCUGGAAUGCCGGUGGAUACUGUCGGGCUAGAGUCCGGAAGAGGCGAGUGGAAUUCCUGGUGUAGCGGUGAAAUGCGCAGAUAUCAGGAGGAACACCGGUGGUGUAGACGGCUCUCUGGACAGUUACUGACGCUGAGACACGAAAGCGUGGGGAGCAAACAGG
RNAcentral lists this ribosomal RNA (253 nucleotides) under uncultured bacterium. Its description in RNAcentral is "partial 16S ribosomal RNA". It matches the Rfam family "Bacterial small subunit ribosomal RNA", at positions 524 to 776 of the family's 1533-position model. The record is from RNAcentral.